Vespula vulgaris is the source of this 4075-nucleotide RNA transcript. RefSeq lists it as uncharacterized. The record is from RefSeq and is a predicted model, not a curated record. The transcript is spliced from 5 exons. NCBI's taxonomy places the organism in Eukaryota, Metazoa, Arthropoda, Insecta, Hymenoptera, Vespidae.
CUACUACGUCUACCAUUUACUCGAUGUAAUUAAAAGCAUGGGAUAUAUCCAUGUCGGAACCAGUAGAUAGAAAACGCAGAGAGACGAAGGAAGAACGCGACGAAUUAGUUUUCAGUUUCGUGAUAUCGAGUAAUAAUAGGGUGCCGAUAAACGAUCCGUCUAAACAAGAAGAAGAAGACGACGAAGAAAAAACGGAAAAGAAAAUUUAACGCAAAGGAGAUAGAAGAAAAUUCUUAAUAGAACCAAAUUAAAUUAAAACAGUUACAAGCUCAGAAAGAAAAGAUGAAUUGGGGAAAGUGUAUCCUAGCAUUGGAAUUUUUUUUAUUGAUUUUCAUUGUAUCCGUCACAAGAGCCGACGAUCGAACAAGGGAGACGAGAAACGCAAUUAACAGGCCCGACAAUUCAAACGAUUUUGUUGCUUUUAAUAAAGAUAUUCUGGUGAAUACGAAGAAUGCUGUAAUAAUACAGGCACCUAUGAGAAGAACCGUUUGUGGAUAUGGUAAAAGAGCAGACGCUUUUGGAAGAUGUAGGACGAUGUUGUCAUUGACGUAACGAUCGAACAAAUCAUUUGAAGAUAGACAGAAGAAACUCAUCGCUCUGUUGUAAGCUCUGCCCAUCGCGUAUCUCUCGUUUAUAUCGUCAAUGCCAAAACCAUUUCUAUAGGAUGAAGAUAUUCUUGAUUCCGAACGACACGGCAGCGAGAAGAAAGCCAAUCAAACAAGCCUCGAACCGCUUCCUUAUCGAUCGAGCUGUUUCUCUCUCUUUCUCUCUCUCUCUCUCCCUUUAUCUUUGUCUAUGAUCGCCAUGAUGGUACCAAGGAGCGAAGAAGACGUUCAAAUUUUUAAAUGGAAAAUCGUCAAAGGGAAAUCACGAAGAAGAAGAAACAAUUAAAUAUCGAGUUGAAGAAGAAUGGAAAAUCGAUAGAUGCGAAUUUCCUCUCUCUCUCUCUCUCUCUCUCUUUUUCUUUCUAUUACGCGGAUAAAUAUCGUUUGAAAUUUUUUUCAUCGUGAAUGUUUUCGAAAGACGUGACUUUUUGUCAAUACAUACUUUUAUGCGUAUAAAUAUCUCUUUUUCUUUCUUUCUCUUUUUUUUUUUUUUUUUAAUUUUUUUCUCCCUUUUUUUUCGUCUUCUUAAGAAUAUUUUUAACGUAAAUAAAAUUUCGUUAGGAGAAAAUCGACACAUCGAUUUGCGUUUAAAUAUUUCCGCGUGAAAUUGUACGCAUCUACCAUACCGACGAUGAAACAUGUUGGCGUUGGAUGUAUCGCACGUUGAUAGAAAAGGUAGAGUCAACGGAGCAAUGAUAUCAGCUCUUUAGAUUAUCGUUACAUUUCACAUAUAAUUUCGCAAAAUAUAUAUAUAUAUAUAAUAUAUGUAUAUAGACGUACAUAUAUUUUAUGUAUAUAUAUAUAUAUAUAUAUAUAUAUAUAUAUAUAUAUAUCAGCGGAAAGUAUAUCAUUAAUCAUGAUUCGAAUCAGGGAUAAUUCGCAUUCGUUUACCAGUCCAACGUGAGAAGAUUAGAUUAUUUUCAAUAAUUCAACAUUUAUUAAACGACCAAGACGAAAAUAAUAUUGAUCGUAGCUCGGCCAGAAUAGUAAUAGUAGUAGGAACAGCGGCAGCGGCUGCUUUACGAUUAAGCGAUCUUAUUAUUAAAAUAAAUUAUAUGUAAUAACGUUAAUAAAAGAGUAGAUAUUAAAUGUUAUCGAAUGGCUAAACUUAGGUCAUAGUUGUAUAUAAUUUUCUCUAAUAUGUCGUUUAAUAAAUCUAAACGACUCGAGCACAGAAACUAUUAAACUACAAUCUUUCCCUAUUAAACGUAUAAAAUUGAUUUCAACUUAAUCAAGUUAUUCGAUGUAUUUUACAACCGCCGACGUCAUAAAUUAUCAUGAAAAUGAAUACAUAUGUACGUACAUUCAUUCGAUUUCCAGUUAAACAUUCCGAAACCGCAAACUGUAAUUUAUUAUAAGAAACUCUGUAACAGGAAAAAGGAAACCACGUUAGUUGGUAAUACAUGCGUCAUGUCGUAGAGAAUACGUUUAUAAUAACCGAAUGGUCAAAAAUAGUUUCCAUUGUAUUUUCGUUUUUGUGCGUGCAAGUAGCAACAACGUUGUUUAACUUCGUCAAAAAGAAUUAUCGACGAGAAAACGAGAGAUAAGAAAUAAAGAUAAGGAAAAAAUUUUUAUAAAAAAAAAAAAGCAAAAGAAAAGAUUGUUUUAUUGUCUCAUAAAAAUCGAACUAAUAUUUUAAGUAUAGCGAUAGAGGAAGAAAAUAAAAAUAAAAUAAAACGAUAAUAACGAAAAUAAUAAUAACGACACGAGAAAAAGCUAUAAAAAAAAGGAAAAGAAAAGCAUGGCACCCUUUCGUUUCUUUUUAAUCGUCAUUCUUCUGUCGUUGACGUUUUUGCUCGGGACCGAGGCUUCUCCGUUGAUAAUUCCUAUCAGAAAAAAGACUAAAACCCGUUUUCAAUGUCAGAAUGGAUAUAAAAUGGAUAUUCUCGGGAAAUGCCGACGCGUUAUAUAAAUUUCAAGGAUAAAGCAAGGAAGAGAAGGUACCAUUGGGAGCUUGAUAAUCAUAAAAGGGAGAUAUAACAUUAAAAGCGUUCGUUUAUCUUAUUCAUUAAUAAUGUAUUAUUGUAUCAAAAUGCAUAUCAAGAUCUUUACGAGUUUUUUGUUUUUCUUUUUUCUUUUUUUGUUAUCAUUGAAUUUUUCUUUCAACGAACUCCCUUUCCCUCUUUCUUGUUUGAUAAGAAUCCUCAUCGAGGUUGUUCUCUAACAUCGUUUUAAACUAUAACCAACCGUCGGAAAUAAUUCGUUCCUUUGUCUCUCUCUCUUCCUUUCUGUUUUCGUUUUCCUUCUUCUUUUUUUUUCCUUUUUCUCUUCCUUCUUUUUUUAUUUUGUUCAACCUGCAGGUGUACCUUUAAAAAACAUUUUGUAAGUUUUACUACUCUUUAUUGUGUAAAUAAUACGAACAUUACGCAAGAAGAGAGAGUACGGACGACUCGCCGAAAGACUCGUUCGUUGGUUGCCGUAUAAAGUAGAAAAUAAUUGCGCGAAAACUCGCCGUUAAGAAGACGGAAAAAUAUUUAUUAUUUUUAUUUAAAGAAGACAAAAAAAUUCUUCUUUUAUAUUUCCUUUUUUCUUUCUUUUUUCUCUCUCUCUUUCUUUCUUUCUUUUCUUAUCAGUAAAACGCAUUCGGUCAUAGAAAGAUAUAUCGUUAGCUAAAAAAGUAGAUCGACCGAGUGAUCGCCCUUAAAGUUGGUGUCAAUUUUUCUUCAUUGGAAAUCGACUUUGUUGAAGAAGGAAGAAGAAGAAGAAGAAGAAGAAGAAGAGAAGGAAGAGGAGAAGGGGGAGGAGGAGGAGGAGGAGAAGAUUGGAACGUCAAAAUGCUUUUAUAAUAUACAAUAAGCAUGUACGUAACAUAGCUGCCUUCUCGCGCAGAUAUAAGUAUUAUAGGAUACAUAGAAACUACAUCGUUCUUUAAAAGUCAUCGGAAUUGGAUUGCGUCUUUUAUAGAAGGAAAAAGAUAAAUAGGAAGAAGCAAAAGAGAAGAGAAGAGAAGAGAAGAAAAGAGAAGAAAAGAAAUGGUUGUUGGGCUGUCCAUGACGAUGUAAAUUCUCUGAGAGGAGAUAAAUCGUGCACUUUUGACCUUUGUGAGAGCGAUAUGCUUUGCCGAGAGGUCGGUCAAAACUCGAAAGAUGGAAAAAGGCAGAGAAUAGAAAAGGAACGAAGAAAGAAAGAGAAAGAAAGAAAGAAAGAAAGAAAGAAAGAAAGAAAGAAAGAAAGAAAGAAAGGGAAAGAACGAACGGGAGAGAGAGAGAUAUGUAGUGCGGAGAAGCCAGUAGAAGAGUUUCGAUCGUACUCUUUCGCUUCUCGAGUGCGAGCUCUCUUCAGUAUCUUUGUUCGAGUCUGUCGUGAAUGAGACCCGGUACUCGAGUUAGAAGCGCGUUUAUUACGUUGUGUAGACGAUAAAGGCUGAACGAAUCCUUGGGUGAUCAUCGAAAGUACCAGAAAUAACCGAGCAAUCGACUCCCUCUUUCUCUCUCUUUCGGUCUGUCUGUUUAUCAAAAACUCCAACGUGG